RNAcentral lists this ribosomal RNA (412 nucleotides) under uncultured bacterium. RNAcentral's name for it is "bacterial SSU rRNA". It matches the Rfam family "Bacterial small subunit ribosomal RNA", at positions 77 to 484 of the family's 1533-position model. The record is from RNAcentral.
AGCUUGCUCCCCUGAUUUAGCGGCGGACGGGUGAGUAAUGCCUAGGAAUCUGCCUGGUAGUGGGGGAUAACGUUCCGAAAGGAACGCUAAUACCGCGUACGUCCUACGGGAGAAAGCAGGGGACCUUCGGGCCUUGCGCUAUCAGAUGAGCCUAGGUCGGAUUAGCUAGUUGGUGAGGUAAUGGCUCACCAAGGCGACGAUCCGUAACUGGUCUGAGAGGAUGAUCAGUCACACUGGAACUGAGACACGGUCCAGACUCCUACGGGAGGCAGCAGUGGGGAAUAUUGGACAAUGGGCGAAAGCCUGAUCCAGCCAUGCCGCGUGUGUGAAGAAGGUCUUCGGAUUGUAAAGCACUUUAAGUUGGGAGGAAGGGCAGUAGGUUAAUACCUUGCUGUUUUGACGUUACCGACAG